AUGGUGCUGAUUAGCGUUGGUCAUGCACAGGCUUGUUCAACAGGCUCUGCUGUGAGAAGCCGGAUUGUGGGAUUGUGUCUCCUUUCCUACAGUCUGGACAAGCGUGUGUCUGUUCACUGGUCUCUGAGCCCCAGUGCUACCUGUUGUCCCAGAUUAUCCCACAGGUGUCCACUGGGGCUCCAGUGCACAGCAUCUCUGUCACUCUCUGCUCUCUCAGGACAGGUGUCCACUGGGGCUCCAGUCCACAGCUUCACUGUCACUCUGCUCUCUCAGGACAGGUGUCCACUGGGGCUCCAGUCCACAGCAUCACUGUCACAAUCUCUGUGCCUCUGUUUCUCAGUUUAUAUGGUCUGCCCUGUAGUUUCCACCUGUGUCCUCUGGUUCCUGUUUCCCUGUAGAUCCUGACGAGCUCCGCUGGGCUGACUUUGUCAAUAUAUUUUAAUUUUUUUCAUUUACUUGAAUCAAGUUCCCUUAUAGUCUUCCCCAUUCAAAACUAAAGAGAUUCAGUUCAUUGUCCUCACAAUUUGGAACAACAAAGAAAUUGGAUUGAUAUUUUUCCCUAUCUGCACGUACAUUGAAUAUCAUCUGCCAGGUGUUUACCCUGUUCUGACGUCUAUUUAAAUCCUUUUUAAUUGAAUUUGGGAGCUUCUGCAGUGUCCGCUAAUCCCCCUAAUUAGGCAUGAUUUUACUGCAUUGAUCUGUGUGCAAGUGUCUCGAUUGUUUUUACCACGUUUCAUGGUAAAAAGCAAUGAUGUGUCAUGAAAGGUGCUAUAUCCAAUGCAGAUCAGAUGCCACAACAAUGGAGCGAACCUUUUAGUAGUUGGCUUUGGAAGCCAAAUCACAACCUGUUUAAUUGGCUCCGCGGUUCAGAGCAAAACCCAGGAGACAACAGGUGAUGAGUCUGAGAGCCCAUCUUUCCUGGGGUCCAGUGCUUAGUGACACUCCCUCUCCCUCUGUCUCCCUCUCGUCCCUCAUCCUGCGGCCUACUCACAGAGGCCUAAGCUUCUUCAGAAAGUCGAACAAGUUCCUGGCGAUACAGGAGCAAAAGUAAGCAGAGCGUGUUGGCGUGGACUUGUGAAGGUCCUGCGCUACAGCCACGGGCGCCGUGUGAGGCCGGAUUGUUUCUGUGUGCGGAGCUCAGCCCCCUCGGGGGAGAAGUCGGCCAGGGUGAUGUCAUCCUUCAUGGAACAGGCACACAAAGGAAAGGGGAAGUGGAAUUGUUUAGAAACGGAAAUUAUUAACAUUCCACAAUCCCGAGGCCCAGCCGCAGACCGCCGUGACCGCUCGUCACGCGCUGGCCUGGACGCGCACGGCACAUCACGGCGACCCGCUCGGAGCGCGAGGGACUGGCCGCCGACCGCAGCGCCGCACCGAUACGGAGGUCAUCG
This 1388-nucleotide long non-coding RNA is filed under the name Lepisosteus oculatus (spotted gar). Its description in RNAcentral is "lncRNA (ENSLOCG00000021365.1)". The record is from RNAcentral. Lineage: Eukaryota; Metazoa; Chordata; Actinopteri; Semionotiformes; Lepisosteidae.